RNAcentral lists this ribosomal RNA (253 nucleotides) under uncultured bacterium. Its description in RNAcentral is "partial 16S ribosomal RNA". It matches the Rfam family "Bacterial small subunit ribosomal RNA", at positions 524 to 776 of the family's 1533-position model. The record is from RNAcentral.
UACGUAGGGUGCGAGCGUUAAUCGGAAUUACUGGGCGUAAAGUGUGCGCAGGCGGCCGCGCAAGUCGAGUGUGAAAGCCCCGGGCUUAACUUGGGAAUUGCGCUCGAAACUACGUGGCUAGAGUGUGGCAGAGGGAGGUGGAAUUCCACGUGUAGCGGUGAAAUGCGUAGAGAUGUGGAGGAACACCGAUGGCGAAGGCAGCAUCCUGGGCCAACACUGACGCUCAUGCACGAAAGCGUGGGGAGCAAACAGG